This is a small nuclear RNA of Octodon degus (degu), 111 nucleotides long. Lineage: Eukaryota; Metazoa; Chordata; Mammalia; Rodentia; Octodontidae. The record is from Ensembl.
GUACUUGCUUUGGCAGCACAUACACUAAAAUUGGAAUGAUACUUAGAAGAUCAGCAUGGCCCCUGUACAAGGAUGACAUACGAAUUCGUGAAGCAUUCAUUCCAUAUUUUU